GGCGGCCGGGGGCCCCGGCGGCGUCGGCGGACCAGCAGGAGGAGGAUGCGGGGAGGGGCAGCACGAGCGGGUGGUCGCGCUCCGCGAGAUCAAGAACCAGACCUUCGGGAACCAGACCAAGAAGCUCCUCUACCUCCGCCUGGGUGCCGUGUUAGCGGUCGUCACGGCGCGUCACCAGCCAUGCUCGUCCAUGAGCGGCCGCGGCGGAGUACUUUGCUUGCGGCGUAGACGAUGGCGCGCAUGCCGUGCUUGCUGCUGGAGCCGUGGGGCACCUCCUCGCCCACCCCGACAACAAGGAUUCGCAGUGGCACCGCCGCAGCCAGCGAGGACACAAGCUCACGAGGAUUGUUGCCGCUUCGGAGGACAUGGGAGCUGCCAUAGCCAGCGAGUACGUGAGCGCACGUAGGCACCAUCGCUUUCGAGGAUGCGAGAGCCAUCUCAGCUUGAGAGAAUGCGCAUACCAUCUCCAGUGUGUGCAACAAGUGUUCCUCUAAACGUCUGAGCGUAAAGACUACUCAUGGGUGAUGCUUCUGUGACCAGACCUCUAUAAAAUCACAAGAUAGUUUCAGUGUUGUUGUUCUCAAUCAUGUUACCCUUAAGUGCAAGACAUCAAUUUGCUCUUAAGUAAAAGGGAAAUUUGAGCAGGAAAGGUAAGCAAUUCGAAGCAAGCUCCCGAGAUAAAUUUUCUUUUGGUUUAGCUAACGAAUGCCUUGGUAUAGGUCUAAUCUCUCCUUCCUAGAGAUGGUUCUUUCUUAUU
Molecule: long non-coding RNA, 757 nt
Organism: Triticum dicoccoides
Lineage: Eukaryota; Viridiplantae; Streptophyta; Magnoliopsida; Poales; Poaceae
Exons: 4
Source: RefSeq, a predicted model, not a curated record